GACGAACGCUGGCGGCGUGCUUAACACAUGCAAGUCGAACGCUGAAGCUUGGUGCUUGCCCUGGGUGGAUGAGUGGCGAACGGGUGAGUAAUACGUGAGUAACCUGCCCUUGACUCUGGGAUAAGCCUGGGAAACUGGGUCUAAUACUGGAUACGACAUGCCACUGCAUGGUGGUGUGUGGAAAGGGUUUUACUGGUUUUGGAUGGGCUCACGGCCUAUCAGCUUGUUGGUGGGGUAAUGGCCUACCAAGGCGACGACGGGUAGCCGGCCUGAGAGGGUGACCGGCCACACUGGGACUGAGACACGGCCCAGACUCCUACGGGAGGCAGCAGUGGGGAAUAUUGCACAAUGGGCGGAAGCCUGAUGCAGCGACGCCGCGUGAGGGAUGACGGCCUUCGGGUUGUAAACCUCUUUCAGCACGGAAGAAGCGAGAGUGACGGUACGUGCAGAAGAAGCGCCGGCUAACUACGU
RNAcentral lists this ribosomal RNA (471 nucleotides) under uncultured bacterium. RNAcentral's name for it is "partial 16S ribosomal RNA". It matches the Rfam family "Bacterial small subunit ribosomal RNA", at positions 28 to 506 of the family's 1533-position model. The record is from RNAcentral.